CCUACGGGUGGCAGCAGUGAGGAAUAUUGGUCAAUGGGCGGGAGGCUGAACCAGCCAAGUCGCGUGAAGGACGACAGCGCUAUGGGUUGUAAACUUCUUUUAUAAAGGGACAAAAUGCGCCACGAGAGCCUGUCUGUGGGUACUUGAUGAAAAAGCAUCGGCUAAUUCCGUGCCAGCAGCCGCGGUAAUACGGAGGAUGCGAGCGUUAUCCGGAUUUAUUGGGUUUAAAGGGUGCGUAGGCGGAUUGUUAAGUCAGCGGUAAAAGCCUGGGGCUCAACCGUAGCGGGCCGUUGAAACUGGGUGUCUUGAGAAUGCGAAGGGUACGUGGAAUGCGUAGUGUAGCGGUGAAAUGCUUAGAUAUUGCGCAGAACUCCGAUCGCGAAGGCAUCGUACCGGAGGAAGUCUGACGCUGAGGCUCGAAAGUGCGGGUAUCGAACAGGAUUAGAUACCCGUGUAGUC
This 459-nucleotide ribosomal RNA is filed under the name uncultured bacterium. RNAcentral describes it as "partial 16S ribosomal RNA". It matches the Rfam family "Bacterial small subunit ribosomal RNA", at positions 338 to 795 of the family's 1533-position model. The record is from RNAcentral.